This is a long non-coding RNA of Odocoileus virginianus texanus, 1821 nucleotides long. RefSeq lists it as uncharacterized. NCBI's taxonomy places the organism in Eukaryota, Metazoa, Chordata, Mammalia, Artiodactyla, Cervidae. The record is from RefSeq and is a predicted model, not a curated record.
UGUUCAGCUGUAAUUAUCCCGACAUUGUAAAUCAAUUAUAAUUUUUUAAUGUAAAAAAAAAUGAGGUUGCCCUUUUAGAUUUAUGUUGGUUUUUUGCAGUUUUCAUUUAGAAUAAAUGUAAAGUUGUUAGUUUUCUAUAUUUUUUAGUUAGAUUGUUUUUUAAGAGACAGGAUUGUAAAGUGGGAAUAUUGAAGACUUUGGAGUCAGAUAGAUCUGAAUUUUAUCUCUGUGUGACCUAAUCCAUCUGAUCCUUAGAUUUCAUAUCUGUAAAGUACAGGAUUGCUGGGAGUUUUGGGGAGUGUGUGCAGAAGACCUGACACAUACUAGGUGCUCAUUAUAUGACAGUUAAAUUAUCAUUGCUAUUGACAGCAGAUGAUAUAUAUAAAUCCUGGCCAUCAUUUGGUAGCCUUAAGAGGCUUCAGAGAAAUCUUCAUGGCAUUGAAGAACCCCAGGAGGUUUUAUUGUUCUUAGGUGGUAUUUGAGCUGGGCUUUAAGGCAAGCAUUGUAUAUGUUAUUUGGACCAUCAUGCCCUCAAUAUCCUCUUCUCAUGUCCGACAUUAUCAAUGUAUUACAGCAUUAUUUCUUGUUGAGCUCAGAGUCCUUUUCAUAAUUGCUCAAGAAUUGCUUGUAAUUAAUGGGAAUUGACCCAGGAGGCACCGUCUUUUCUUUAAGUCCAGAUACACAAACAAGCUAUCCAAGCCACGCCUUUGGUGGCCCACUCCAAUCCUGCCUUUGCUUCCUUUCAGUCUUGUCUUUGCUUUGUGACCAACAGGUUUUGGAAAAAGUUGCCUCUGGUGACCCUGAACUUGCGCCUUUAUGAGUCUCAGCAGCAGGAAGAGAAGUCCAAACCCAUUAGCCGUUAUCCCGUUCCCUACGAAAAGGACCUGCCUUUUGAUGUUUGAGAGCUCUUGGAGGAGAUAGAAAAGAAGACAGGAUUUUUACCAAAUGUAUUUAAAGUGUUGUCUCACUGGCCACUGGAAUUCAAAGCCUUCUUUGUUUAUUACAAUAUCAUCUGUAACAAGAAAACAGGCCAGCUCAGCAGAGCUGACAAGGAGCUCAUCAUUUUGGUGACCAGCCUGGCCAACAGGUACUCAUAUAGCGUGGAGUGCCCAGUACAGGGUCUUCUUGAAGAAGCCAGUGCUGUCUGACCAGGUCUGUAUCAACUGGAGAAAGUCUGACCUCCCUGCCCGGGAAAAGGCAAUGCUGGAAUUUGCACUUGCUCUUUCCCAAGCUGAUGACAUAACAGAUGACCAUUUCAAAAAGCUCGAGGUGCAUGGCUUCAACCAGGAAGAUGCCUGGGAUAUAGCUGCAAUUUCAGCUUUUUAUGCCAUGUCCAACCGCCUUGCUCAUUUUGUCAAUCUUGUUCCCAACAAAGAAUUCUAUUUGAUGGGCAGAACCAAUGAUGUCAAAGAGAUCAGGAGUGAACCUGCUGCUCCUAAAAUAUAAAAACCUAAACAGAAAGGCCAGUGUUUACAUUUCUAGCACAUUUCAUUAUAAGACACCAGUUGGGAAGUAAUUUUUUAAAAAAUAUUUAGUCAACAGAUAGGGAAGAAAGUAAACAAAUUUGUUCUCUGCCUCCUUGAUGAGAUUGAUGUGUUUUUGCUUUUUUUUUUUUUACUUUGUUGUGAUUGGAAAGGCGCAUCGGGAUUGGAAAAGAGUUUCGGGGCAAAGGAUUCCAGAAGAUGCUUCAGGCAUUUCUAUUGAAUUGAUAUCUGUGAAUUUCAGCGGUUGAAGUUGAACAUUUUUUAGUUUUUAAAAAAACAGCAUCGCAUAGAAAUUGGUCUAUAGACUGCAGUUUGAAAUAAACUUCUUGUUAACACA